AAUUUCGGAUAAUGGGGGAAACCCUGAUCCAGCCAUCCCGCGCGUAUGAUGAAGGCCUUCGGGUUGUAAAGUACUUUUGGCAGAGAAGAAAAGGUACCUCCUAAUACGAGGUACUGCUGACGGUAUCUGCGGAAUAAGCACCGGCUAACUACGUGCCAGCAGCUGCGGUAAUACGUAGGUUGCAAGCGUUAAUCGGAAUUACUGGGCGUAAAGCGUGUGUGGGCGGUUCGGAAAGAAAGAUGUGACAUCCCAGGGCUCAACCUUGGAACUGCAUUUUUAACUGCCGAGCUAGAGUAUGACAGAGGGGGGUAGAAUUCCACGUGUAGCAGUGAAAUGCGUAGAUAUGUGGAGGAAUACCGAUGGCGAAGGCAGCACCCUGGGAUAAUACUGACGCUCAGACACGAAAGCGUGGGGAGCAAACAG
Molecule: ribosomal RNA, 423 nt
Filed under: uncultured bacterium
Lineage: Bacteria
Description: partial 16S ribosomal RNA
Rfam family: Bacterial small subunit ribosomal RNA
Source: RNAcentral